Molecule: ribosomal RNA, 253 nt
Filed under: uncultured bacterium
Lineage: Bacteria
Description: partial 16S ribosomal RNA
Rfam family: Bacterial small subunit ribosomal RNA
Source: RNAcentral
UACGUAGGGGGCAAGCGUUGUCCGGAAUUAUUGGGCGUAAAGCGCGUGUAGGCGGUCAGAUAAGUCCGCUGUGAAAUCUCGAGGCUCAACUUCGAGCUGUCGGUGGAAACUGUCUGGCUAGAGUCCGGAAGAGGAGAAUGGAAUUCCUGGUGUAGCGGUGAAAUGCGCAGAUAUCAGGAAGAACACCCGUGGCGAAGGCGGUUCUCUGGGACGGUACUGACGCUGAGACGCGAAAGCGUGGGGAGCGAACAGG